CCUAUUUUCACAGGUUGUGAAAAUCCUAUCAUGAAACCUCGAUGAUAUGAUGGAGAUUUAGUACUUAAAAAAGACAAUUGUGCGGUACAUAAAACCUGAUUUCGACUACAAUCAUCAAUUAUAAGAGCGUCGUGAAUAAAAUCAAAAAGCAUCUCAAAACCAUUUCAACAAACCCACACAAAGAUAAAGCAAAAUUAAAUGAGCUAACAUAUGUAUUGCCACACCAUUUGCCUCACUGACUUGUGUGUAUAAAAGAUUAUUACCUGGAUAAUUAACUUCGCAUAACCCGAACACCAUCAAUGGUACGCCCUACAAAAGAACCAUCUCCACCCGGACGCCUUAUUACUAAAUAGAUAUGCAAUAACAUGAAUAUGUGAGUACUUUAUAUCACGGUUAUGUAACUGUCACACUUAAAAAUUUAUUAUUCUACGUAUGUCUAUCUAACUAGUUAAUUAACCUUAAUUUGUUUGUACUUCUGCAGUCUAACCCAUGCAGGUGGUGGAUUUAAGAUUUGAAUUGUGGGGGUUCCAAUGUUGAAAGUUCAAGUUUUUAAGAUACAAAUAUAGUGCGAAUUGCGCAAACAAAUUUCAGUUAUUCACAAAGGCAUUUCAUCGAAACUUGGUGGGCUUGUUGUCGUAAGCUGAACCAUGUUGUGCAUAUGUCAACAAAUAUCGACAUUUGCCGAAAAAAUAUGAUGAGUGCUAAAGCAUUUGUCGAGUGUUGUCGAUGCAACCUGUCAGAGUCUCCUGAAAUAUAUCUAGCAGACGUGACAUCAAACACUUGGUGAGCACAAAAAGGAUCCGUGCCAAACAUUUAAAGGGUUUCCAAAAGACAUGCACAUGCUUGUUUCUU
This 852-nucleotide long non-coding RNA is filed under the name Malus domestica (apple). Its description in RNAcentral is "long non-coding RNA (MDOM_LNC003720)". The record is from RNAcentral. Lineage: Eukaryota; Viridiplantae; Streptophyta; Magnoliopsida; Rosales; Rosaceae.